ACCAGACUCCUACGGGAGGCAGCAGUGGGGGAUAUUGUACAAUGGGGGGAACCCUGAUGCAGCGACGCCGCGUGGGUGAAGGAGUAUUUCGGUAUGUAAAGCCCUAUCGGCAGGGAAGAAUUUAGACGGUACCUGACUAAGAAGCCCCGGCUAACUACGUGCCAGCAGCCGCGGUAAUACGUAGGGGGCGAGCGUUAUCCGGAUUUACUGGGUGUAAAGGGAGCGUAGACGGCUGGUCAAGUCUGAAGUGAAAGCCCGGGGCUUAACCCCGGAACGGCUUUGGAAACUGAGCAGCUAGAGUGCUGGAGAGGUAAGCGGAAUUCCUAGUGUAGCGGUGAAAUGCGUAGAUAUUAGGAGGAACACCAGUGGCGAAGGCGGCUUACUGGACAGUAACUGACGUUGAGGCUCGAAAGCGUGGGGAGCAAACAGGAUUAGAUACCCCCGUAA
This 447-nucleotide ribosomal RNA is filed under the name uncultured bacterium. Its description in RNAcentral is "bacterial SSU rRNA". It matches the Rfam family "Bacterial small subunit ribosomal RNA", at positions 330 to 793 of the family's 1533-position model. The record is from RNAcentral.